Molecule: ribosomal RNA, 259 nt
Filed under: uncultured bacterium
Lineage: Bacteria
Description: partial 16S ribosomal RNA
Rfam family: Bacterial small subunit ribosomal RNA
Source: RNAcentral
AGGCCUACGGGGGGCAGCAGUAGGGAAUCUUCCACAAUGGACGAAAGUCUGAUGGAGCAACGCCGCGUGAGUGAAGAAGGGUUUCGGCUCGUAAAGCUCUGUUGGUAGUGAAGAAAGAUAGAGGUAGGAACUGGCCUUUAUUUGAUGGUAAUUACUUAGAAAGUCACGGCUAACUACGUGCCAGCAGCCGCGGGAAUACGUAGGUGGCAAGCGUUGUCCGGAUUUAUUGGGCGUAAAGCGGGUGCAGGCGGGUUAAAAA